CCAGUUGGCUGGGCAGCCGCGCUUUACCAAUGCCGAAAGGCGGUAGGGUGAGGAAAGUCCGGGCUCCACGGAAACACGGUGCCGGAUAACGUCCGGCGAGGGCGACCUCAGGGAAAGUGCCACAGAAAGCAAACCGCCUGUCAUGACAGGUAAGGGUGAAAGGGUGGGGUAAGAGCCCACCGCAUCUCCGGCAACGGAAAUGGCACGGUAAACCCCACCGGGAGCAAAACCGAAUAGGGAUGACGCGGUCGGCCGAAAGGCCUUCCGGCUGGUUUCCAGGCCAGUCAUCCGGGUGGGUUGCGUGAGGCAGCGUGCGAACGCUGUCCCAGAGGAAUGGCUGCCACGUUCCGGUUCACGCCGGAGCCAUACAGAACCCGGCUUACAGGCCAACUGGCGAU
Molecule: RNase P RNA, 398 nt
Filed under: Rhizobium leguminosarum bv. viciae
Lineage: Bacteria; Pseudomonadati; Pseudomonadota; Alphaproteobacteria; Hyphomicrobiales; Rhizobiaceae
Description: RNase P RNA component class A
Rfam family: Bacterial RNase P class A
About the family: Ribonuclease P (RNase P) is a ubiquitous endoribonuclease, found in archaea, bacteria and eukarya as well as chloroplasts and mitochondria. Its best characterised activity is the generation of mature 5'-ends of tRNAs by cleaving the 5'-leader elements of precursor-tRNAs. Cellular RNase Ps are ribonucleoproteins.
Source: RNAcentral